AUUAUAAAAGUUAUUGUAUUAUUUUAUUAAUGUUCCUAAUUUUUUAGUUUUAACAAGUAACCCGGUUUCCGGUCCCAGUACUGUACCGGAUAUACAUAUAUUCUGCUGGAACUUCCGGUUCCGGAACCUUUCCUCCCAGCGGCUCUCGGUUUUGAUCGCUCCCGGUCCGAUAGUGCCGCUACCGGUUCCGUUGCCACGCUUACUUUGGCAAGGCAACAAAGGGAACAGAAGCAUCAACCUGGUUAACUGAGAAGCACUAACCUUAAGGAAGAUGCUAUGGGCAUCAAGAAUCUGUGGCUGCACAAGAAGUCUCCUACAAAUAUGGCUAUGGAGGUUCAUCAUGGAGGUUUUUAGCACUAAGGAGAAAUUUCAUCUCACAGAAAUAUGGAAUGGAUUACAAAAGAAGUCAAAAGCCCUUAUGGUUGUGGUGUCUGAUAACCCUUCGCAAUCAGUUGUCAGUUUUUUGGGACAAAGUAGAGAUCACAGUGGGUAAUGAAAGAAAGACUGAAUUUCUGGAGGAUCAAUGGAUUGGUGGUCCCUGUUUGUAGUCCACCACCCCUGUUCUAUAUAUAUUAAGUCCCCAAAAACAUGUUUAGAUAGAUCAAGUCUGAAGUGUACAAGGUUGGGACUAACUUUCAGUGACUGGGAAUUUGGAAGUCUUACCUCAAUGCUUCAGCCCAUUGAUACUUUUUGAGGAAUUACUGAGAACAUAGACCAAUUAAAAUGGAGGUUGGACAGGAAAGGAGAAUUUUCAGUCUACUCUCUCUACUACAACAUGAACCACACAAGUCAUUAAAAUGUGUGUUGGCCUUGGAAGCUUAUUUGGAAAGUCAAGGUUCUACCAAAGGUAUCAUGUUUUGUUUGGUUGGUGAUGAGGAAAGUACACGUAACUCAAGAUAAGUUGCAAAAAAGAGGUCUUCAGAUUUGUUAAGAUGUCUCUAUUAUGUGGACACAAAGGAAGAAGUAAUGAGCACCUUUUCCUUCAUUGCAAGACAACUACAAUUUUGUGGCCACAUGUCCUUUAGUAUAUUGAGGAUAAAAUUGAUCAUGACCAAGUCUACGUUGGAGCUUCUGCGAAACUGGAAGAAUGUGAGGAGAAGCAGCGCCGAAGAGGAGUGGUGCAGGUCAUUCCUGGUGGACAUUUUGGAAAGAGAGGAACUCUAGGCAUUUUGAAGACACUAGUAAAUCUACCUAGAAUAAAAGGUGACAAUUGCUCGAGUAUACAAUUGGGAUGUGCAGCAACGUAAGUUUCGACAAGCUGCCAGUCCAAAAGAGUCGUGAUCAAAAUCUGUGUAUGUGGUACUCACUUUUGCUGCAAAGAGUACGAGUUAGAUCUUUGUUUAUCGUUUUAGGUUUGCUUGUUUUGCACUCUCCGCAAGCAGGAUCCUGGAUUAUUAUUCAGACCAUCAGUUGUUGGGCUUGUAGCAAUUUUGUAAGAAAACAAAUAUUUAUUGGUGAGUCUGUGUAUUUACUAGAUAGUUAGGAGCAAAAGUAAAGUAUAAUAAUACAAUCUGUCUUUAAAAAAAAAGAAAGUGAAAUGAUACAAUUGUACCAAAGAUUGAUAAAUUGUGGUAUCACCAUGUUAUAUUGUUCCUAUAGGGGGCUUGUCUCUAGUCAUUGUACUCUAAAGAAAUGAAUGAAUAGCUCCAGUUUUUCUGA
Solanum lycopersicum (tomato) is the source of this 1659-nucleotide long non-coding RNA. RefSeq lists it as uncharacterized. NCBI's taxonomy places the organism in Eukaryota, Viridiplantae, Streptophyta, Magnoliopsida, Solanales, Solanaceae. The record is from RefSeq and is a predicted model, not a curated record.